ACUCACUCUACCAUCUUGUCACAGCACUUACACUCUUAGGGCCCCUGGGAUAUCUAUUAAUCUGACUAUAUCCUGUCACCCUUCUGGGCCAAACCAUUCUGCUGGCAGAUCCCAUGUGGGAAGAGAGUGAGCAGGGGAGGGUCCAUUCCCCAUCCUGAGGUUGUUGGUGGAAGACGUUCACAGGAUUCCUCCUUCAGGUCCCUUCAGAUGGCCCCCACUAACUUAGGGGUUACAGGGUACCUUUGACUGCAGGUCACCUUCCUGUGACUUGACUUACAGAAUGGGCUUGCAUUUCCUGUACACACAGCGAUGGCUGGGCAUCCUGGAAGUGGGGCAGGCAGCUGAAGAACAGAGAAGCAAGGUUUCCACCUCACCCUACCGUACACAUGCUUUGGACUUUGGAAUCGAAGUUCAGGGGGCAUCUUAGACCUGCCAGUUUGAGGACGGACUCAGUCAAGAGGCACAGCGGGGGCCCCUGUGCAGGAUGCUCAUACCGGGCUAAAGAGACGAGCACUCAUGCGAGCAAUGAUGCGAGAGAGCUGGGCUCUGGCUAACUUCGGUCGCCUAGCAACCCUAACAGACAGACAGCCUGGCCAGUCACCGUUGGCCGUUGAUAUCCACCUGCUUCCUGAAGCUAGAGGGAGCCACAAAUCAAGUGCUGCCCCACCCGGCCUCCACUCUCCCUGCCACCAACACCUGACCUUCUUCAAGCCCCUAAAGAGGCAGCUGGGUGACCACUGCUUCUCACCUCGCCCUUUGCCCUCCACCUGAGACCCAUUCUGCAGCUUAAUCUGUGACAUUUAACAUAAAUAGUUUUCUAUUCCCA
Molecule: long non-coding RNA, 826 nt
Filed under: Mus musculus (house mouse)
Lineage: Eukaryota; Metazoa; Chordata; Mammalia; Rodentia; Muridae
Description: RIKEN cDNA 1700001J04 gene (1700001J04Rik)
Source: RNAcentral